UACUUAAACCAUCGCGAACUCGUCCAAGUUGCUUCGGCGGCGCGGCCUCCCUCACGGGGGCGCCGCAGCCCCGCCUCUCCGGAGGUGUGGGGCGCCCGCCGGAGGUACGAAACUCUGUAUUAUAGUGGCAUCUCUGAGUAAAAAACAAAUAAGUUAAAACUUUCAACAACGGAUCUCUUGGUUCUGGCAUCGAUGAAGAACGCAGCGAAAUGCGAUAAGUAAUGUGAAUUGCAGAAUUCAGUGAAUCAUCGAAUCUUUGAACGCACAUUGCGCCCGCUAGUACUCUAGCGGGCAUGCCUGUUCGAGCGUCAUUUCAACCCUCAAGCCCUGCUUGGUGUUGGGGCCCUACGGCUGCCGUAGGCCCUGAAAGGAAGUGGCGGGCUCGCUACAACUCCGAGCGUAGUAAUUCAUUAUCUCGCUAGGGACGUUGCGGCGCGCUCCUGCCGUUAAAGACCAUCUUUAACUCAAGGUUGACCUCGGAUCAGGUAGGAAUACCCGCUGAACUUAAGCAUAUCAAUAAGCGGAGGAA
This 529-nucleotide ribosomal RNA is filed under the name Coniochaeta sp. ADJL-2009a. RNAcentral's name for it is "eukaryotic LSU rRNA". The stretch from base 158 to 311 matches the Rfam family "5.8S ribosomal RNA". Lineage: Eukaryota; Fungi; Ascomycota; Sordariomycetes; Coniochaetales; Coniochaetaceae. The record is from RNAcentral.